Molecule: unclassified non-coding RNA, 201 nt
Filed under: uncultured Thelephoraceae
Lineage: Eukaryota; Fungi; Basidiomycota; Agaricomycetes; Thelephorales; Thelephoraceae
Description: sequence contains ITS1
Source: RNAcentral
CCGAAUUGUCAACACGAGUUGUUGCUGGUCCUCAAAUGGGGGCAUGUGCACACUCUGUUUGCACAUCCACUCACACCUGUGCACCCUCCAUAGUUCUGCAGCCUGGGGGCUCUGUCCCCCCUGCUGUGGCUCUAUGUAUUUACACACACACACUGUGAUAAAGUCUUAUGGAAUGUAUGCCGCGUUUAACGCAAUACAAUA